AUGAUCGAAGAAAAAGAACUUCCCUUUCUCCCGGAGUAAGGUUGCUUCCUUCCGAAUUCUCAUCCACCAUUCCCCGCCGUUCGAAGCGUUUGACGGAAUUCUGGAUCAAAUCAGUCAUUCGAGAUCGCGCGCAGAACCUAGCCCGAUGACUUUGACAGAUUCCCCUAAUUACCCGUCCGCAUAUCCGAGUGAAAGCAGAGCGGAUAAUCGCGCACGGAAUCGUCGUAAAUAAUUUCUCUCCAGGCUCGACACGAUGUUUAAUAAUAAUAUUGUUUAAUACGGCUCUUUGAGGGGCAGCUUAUUGACGAAAGGUGGUGCACGCCGUCGCUGGCACGAAUUCACCGCGGGGAAUGGCGUCAUUAUUCCACGACGCGUCGAAGCGGCCGUUUUUAAUGAGAUCCUACAAUAUUUAAGGCGACUCUCGAGAGAUUUUACGCCAUCGCGUUGUCACCGUGAAACACGUUGAACGUGUCACAACCGUGUCCGCUGACGAUCGAUGCGAGAGAUAUUUUCCCUCCGACGCUGCAGCGUCCCAAAUACCGACGCCUUCGUCCGCGACGGCAUUCGAAAUCGUUUCGUCGAAACGACCGUCCGCUCGCAAAUAACCGAACAACCGCGCUAUCGGACCAGUUUACUCCGAAUUCGCACGCAGUGCAAUAGUUAAAUCCCAUUUUAAAUACUGAGAUGAUCCUCCUUCACCUGUGUCUAUCAGGAAAUUCUGAACUCCAAACGGAAGCAAGCCGACUACGGAAUUACUUUUUUUGGAAUUGCAAGAGUAAUUUGUCUUUUAUACACCAGGAAGUUUUAAGAGCAACGGAGCUGACCAACCAGAGUCCCGUAUUCGAAAGCUACAGAUGGGCAGGCACGUCUGUCAAGGUCGGAGUUCCAAGCACUCGGCAACGAAUCGAUUAAUAAUGCCUCGUCGGCUGUGCCGGUCUUAACGCGUACACUAUUCCUUCCCUCUCUAUAUAUAGAGCUAGAAACCGAUGAGGAUCACGGAUGAACAAGGCUGCCGCUGCGAGACGGUGCUUGCUUUGAUUUCGCCGCCGGAAGACCUACACCUUCGAUCGCGUGCAGGUGUCUGAUGGACCUAUGGUUCAUUUGCCAUGGAUAUGACGAGACGUUGGUGACGACACUUUCGGUGGAAUUAACAUGUGACUUCCACGCAGGUUUUCCAUGGCCUCGACGCUUGCUUAACCUCGUGGACUGCACGUGCUACGCAAGUCGAAAGCUUUUUUGUUCCAGAAUUGAAAAUGUACGCGUUGACACUCGAGACUCUUCGCAAGAUGUGACAGAACAAAUUUUACAAGCUUUUUGUAUUCUCUAUCAAACGUGUAAAGAAAUGUCUGUUGACAUAUUUUCUAAGGAAUAUUCCACUCACGAAAACUAAAUAAAAAAUACCGAAAGAAUUGAGUAUAUACUAAAUAAAAGCAAAGCAAACUGUCUGAGAAUCUAAGCAAUAUUUUGUUGCAUUUCACAACUCAUAAUGUUUAAAGUUCCUGUAUAUGUAUAUAAUUUUACAAAAAUGAUUAACCUCAUAUGUGGUUAGGUCAUAAAGUUCUUUGCGCAUUUCCGUGCGAUACCUCUGACUCGUGCUUUUCAUAUUCACACGUUAUCGUAGACUAAUAUGUUAAUAAACAAUAUAAUUGUCUAGGAUGUUUCUAGAGUCUGGACACAGGAAAUAUUAUAUCAGCUAAUAAAUGUCACACUUGGAAAAUUUUCCUUAUUCCCUGUGUCCAAACUUUAGGGACAUCCUGUGUAUGUACAUCUGUAUAUCAUCUGUUAAUAAGCAGAAUUAUUGUUCCCUGAAAAUAUCUACAAAAAGAAUUCUUGGUUCGCUGGUCACGCGUAUAUCGAAACAUUUGUCAGCGCAGGAGAUUAACCCAUUCACGGCCAGACAAAUUUAAAUCGUUUU
Molecule: long non-coding RNA, 1915 nt
Organism: Hylaeus volcanicus
Lineage: Eukaryota; Metazoa; Arthropoda; Insecta; Hymenoptera; Colletidae
Exons: 3
Source: RefSeq, a predicted model, not a curated record